GAUGAACGCUGGCGGCGUGCCUAAUACAUGCAAGUCGAGCGAACGGACGAGAAGCUUGCUUUUCUGAUGUUAGCGGCGGACGGGUGAGUAACACGUGGAUAACCUACCUAUAAGACUGGGAUAACUUCGGGAAACCGGAGCUAAUACCGGAUAAUAUUUUGAACCGCAUGGUUCAAAAGUGAAAGACGGUCUUGCUGUCACUUAUAGAUGGAUCCGCGCUGCAUUAGCUAGUUGGUAAGGUAACGGCUUACCAAGGCAACGAUGCAUAGCCGACCUGAGAGGGUGAUCGGCCACACUGGAACUGAGACACGGUCCAGACUCCUACGGGAGGCAGCAGUAGGGAAUCUUCCGCAAUGGGCGAAAGCCUGACGGAGCAACGCCGCGUGAGUGAUGAAGGUCUUCGGAUCGUAAAACUCUGUUAUUAGGGAAGAACAUAUGUGUAAGUAACUGUGCACAUCUUGACGGUACCUAAUCAGAAAGCCACGGCUAACUACGUGCCAGCAGCCGCGGUAAUACGUAGGUGGCAAGCGUUAUCCGGAAUUAUUGGGCGUAAAGCGCGCGUAGGCGGUUUUUUAAGUCUGAUGUGAAAGCCCACGGCUCAACCGUGGAGGGUCAUUGGAAACUGGAAAACUUGAGUGCAGAAGAGGAAAGUGGAAUUCCAUGUGUAGCGGUGAAAUGCGCAGAGAUGUGGAGGAACACCAGUGGCGAAGGCGACUUUCUGGUCUGUAACUGACGCUGAUGUGCGAAAGCGUGGGGAUCAAACAGGAUUAGAUACCCUGGUAGUCCACGCCGUAAACGAUGAGUGCUAAGUGUUAGGGGGUUUCCGCCCCUUAGUGCUGCAGCUAACGCAUUAAGCACUCCGCCUGGGGAGUACGACCGCAAGGUUGAAACUCAAAGGAAUUGACGGGGGCCCGCACAAGCGGUGGAGCAUGUGGUUUAAUUCGAAGCAACGCGAAGAACCUUACCAAAUCUUGACAUCCUUUGACAACUCUAGAGAUAGAGCCUUCCCCUUCGGGGGACAAAGUGACAGGUGGUGCAUGGUUGUCGUCAGCUCGUGUCGUGAGAUGUUGGGUUAAGUCCCGCAACGAGCGCAACCCUUAAGCUUAGUUGCCAUCAUUAAGUUGGGCACUCUAAGUUGACUGCCGGUGACAAACCGGAGGAAGGUGGGGAUGACGUCAAAUCAUCAUGCCCCUUAUGAUUUGGGCUACACACGUGCUACAAUAGACAAUACAAAGGGCAGCGAAACCGCGAGGUCAAGCAAAUCCCAUAAAGUUGUUCUCAGUUCGGAUUGUAGUCUGCAACUCGACUACAUGAAGCUGGAAUCGCUAGUAAUCGUAGAUCAGCAUGCUACGGUGAAUACGUUCCCGGGUCU
RNAcentral lists this ribosomal RNA (1372 nucleotides) under uncultured bacterium. RNAcentral's name for it is "bacterial SSU rRNA". It matches the Rfam family "Bacterial small subunit ribosomal RNA", at positions 28 to 1381 of the family's 1533-position model. The record is from RNAcentral.